RNAcentral lists this long non-coding RNA (1102 nucleotides) under Sus scrofa (pig). Its description in RNAcentral is "lncRNA (ENSSSCG00060011684.1)". The record is from RNAcentral. Lineage: Eukaryota; Metazoa; Chordata; Mammalia; Artiodactyla; Suidae.
UUUUUUUUUUUUUUUUGGUUGUCUUUUUGCCUUUUCUAGGGCCGCUCCCGUGGCAUAUGGAGGUUCCCAGGCUAGGGGUCUAAUCGGAGCUGUAGCCACCGGCCUACACCACAGCCACAGCAAUGCGGGGUCCGAGCCGUGUCUGCGACCUGCACCACAGCUCACGGCAAUGCCAGAUCUUUAACCCACUGAGCAAGGCCAAGGAUCGAACCUGCAACCUCAUGGUCCCUAGUCAGAUGGGAACGAUGAGAACUCCUUCAAAACAUUUCUAAUGAGAACACCCAACCUCAGAGAUUCUGAUUUAACUGGUCUAGAAUUUAGUUGGUUAAAAGUUCGUUAAGUAAGGUUAGUACAUAAGACAUAGGACACCAUGUAAACUUGGACAACUAAACACUAAAACAUUACUUUAUUGUUUAAUUGAAGUUCUAAUUUAACUGUGUAUCCUGUAUUUUGGUUUGUUAAAUAUGGCAACCCUAUGGGAGGAUCCUAAGAUCUAGCUCAGGUUGAGAAAUACCCUUGCAGGGUUUCCACUGAAAUACAAGAGCUGUCACUACAGUGACAUGGAGAAGCAGAGUGUCAUCUGUGCCCAUCAAACCUGCUUUUUUUUGUUAACACUUUCACAUUACAAAUAUUUCUUAAAUUUUCACAUUUAUAUUACAAGAGUUUACAUUUUUGUCUGUCUUGCCCAUUGUGUCUCUAUAAUAUUUUGCUCACAAAAAUAGUUCUUGUUAUGACUCAAAAAGAUUUGUAAACCUCUGAUCUAAUUCAGUGUCUCUUUCCAGAUUAAAAAAAUUUAAGACCCAGAGAGGAUGGUUCUUUGCUAAGCUCUUAGAGCUAAUUUAUAGAAAAACCAAACUGGUUCAUCAGACGCUAUUGCCAGGACCCUUUUCCUUUUUCUGAGCUAUGGGUCAGGAAUAAGAGGUCCUAUAAUCCUACAUCUAAGACUUCUGGACGAACUUUUGUCAAGUCUCUAAAGUUAUGCCAGACACUGUGCUAGGUAGGCACUUGGUGCAGGGAUUAAGAUGCAAUUUAAGUUCUCAAGGAACUGAUGCAGAAAGAGAAACAGAAAUAAUGUAGCUGUCUCUAGAAAAAUAAUACCACC